Molecule: unclassified non-coding RNA, 339 nt
Filed under: soil metagenome
Description: partial contains 5.8S ribosomal RNA, internal transcribed spacer 2, and large subunit ribosomal RNA
Rfam family: 5.8S ribosomal RNA (bases 1-120)
Source: RNAcentral
GAUGAAGAACGUAGCGAAAUGCGAUAAGUAGUGUGAAUUGCAGAAUUCAGUGAAUCAUCGAAUCUUUGAACGCACAUUGCGCCCUUUGGUAUUCCAAAGGGCAUGCCUGUUCGAGCGUCAUUUGUACCCUCAAGCUUUGCUUGGUGUUGGGCGUCUUGUCUCUAGCUUUGCUGGAGACUCGCCUUAAAGUAAUUGGCAGCCGGCCUACUGGUUUCGGAGCGCAGCACAAGUCGCACUCUCUAUCAGCAAAGGUCUAGCAUCCAUUAAGCCUUUUUUUCAACUUUUGACCUCGGAUCAGGUAGGGAUACCCGCUGAACUUAAGCAUAUCAAUAGCGGAGA